AAAAGGCGCCGUGUUUUACAUUCUCUCUCCUCCUCCAAAUAUCAGUUCACGAGCCUUUCUCCAAAUCUCAGCUCCUGCAAAAGAUUGAAGCCCAGAGUUCCAAAUCUGCCUAAGAUCCAAACAUUGAAGCCCAGUUCAACGAAUCUUCACAAAACUUCUCCAAAUCUGAAGAGCAACGAAGUGGAAACAGAAAUCGAAGCUUUGGAGAGCCCUCAGUUCGUGACCAUUGAUCCCCUCAGUUCGUGACCCUUGAAAAUCGGAACCUUCAGCCCUCAGUUCGAUCAGCGUAAACAUUUCUCCUUCUAACUUAAAAACGUUGUUCUCUAUUUAUUCANNNN
Molecule: long non-coding RNA, 338 nt
Filed under: Panax ginseng (ginseng)
Lineage: Eukaryota; Viridiplantae; Streptophyta; Magnoliopsida; Apiales; Araliaceae
Description: long non-coding RNA (PGIN_LNC000122)
Source: RNAcentral